Oxyura jamaicensis (ruddy duck) is the source of this 1061-nucleotide long non-coding RNA. RefSeq lists it as uncharacterized. Lineage: Eukaryota; Metazoa; Chordata; Aves; Anseriformes; Anatidae. The record is from RefSeq and is a predicted model, not a curated record. The transcript has 2 exons.
GAGAAACCCUCACCCAGGCUGGCUGUGAUGCUUAGCCUACGUGCACAUGGUCCCAGGGAAAUAUUUAGGGAGUCAAGGGCCUAAGGGCUUUAGACCUGUGCCCUUGUGCCCUUUCCUGACCAUGUAUUUUUGUGCUAUAAGAGCUUCAGAAAACAGUCUUGCAGAAGUUUCUUGGCCUGUUGUCUACUUCUGCCUAACUGUUUUCAUCUCCUUCUCCCUAUUUGCAUUAGGCAAAGCCAUAGACAAAUGACCACAAGUAAAAAUGGCAGGAUGCAGGUCUGUGGCCACCUCCUGUCACCACUGGCCUGCUCUCCGGAGUGACCACAGGUUGAAUUUACUCCCUGAGUGCAAACUGCAGGGGUUGUGCUAGGGAUGUUGAGAUGCAAUGACCUGGUUUUAUGUGCAGAGCUGAGCUUGCAGUGUGAGCAGGCAGGGGGCUGAUAAACUUGUGUCUAGGGUAACAGGAAAAUUCAGAGCCUCUUUCCCCUUCUUGUUUCAUGUUGGGCUCGACCGUUGUCUGAUGCUGUUCAGCAAAAGCCGGGUGCUGGGCAGGAAAGCAGCAGCUGAAUACUCCAACAAGUGGCUUGUUAGUGAGGAAUGUCCUGCGUGAGCUUUGUCGUGGGCUCCCUGCUCCUGAAAGCACUGCAGCCUCCUUCCCCAGGGCCGGGGCAAGAGCCAGAGUCAGACAAUACCAUGCUGACUGCUGCAGAGUCACCAGGUUGGACCUGAAGCACUACGUAUGCUGUAACACACCAUCCAAAGAGCGGCUGAUGGUAGAGAGAAAAAUGAAGCAACUUUUCUAGGUGUUUUGAAUCACUGCAACCCUCAGUCUGCCCCAUAAAAUCAGCAGAAUUGCAGAAUCUGAUUCAAAGCCUCAGCAAAGUCAAAAUGAUUCUUUGACUGGCUUGAGGAGACAGUAGAUAGACCAAAGCAGCCAAAACCUUUCCAUUUGUCCCCAGAAAACAUUUGAACGUUUGCAUGUAAUGAAACAUUUAGUAGGCCAGCAAUAAAUUAAGUGAAGAAUCUCAGUUCCUUUAAUAAAAUAAUCUGUUAAACUGACA